UACGUAGGUGGCGAGCGUUAUCCGGAUUUAUUGGGCGUAAGGGGAACGCAGGCGGUCUUUUAAGUCUGAUGUGAAAGCCUUCGGCUUAACCGGAGUAGUGCAUUGGAAACUGGGAGACUUGAGUGCAGAAGAGGAGAGUGGAACUCCAUGUGUAGCGGUGAAAUGCGUAGAUAUAUGGAAGAACACCAGUGGCGAAAGCGGCUCUCUGGUCUGUAACUGACGCUGAGGUUCGAAAGCGUGGGUAGCAGACAGG
RNAcentral lists this ribosomal RNA (253 nucleotides) under uncultured bacterium. RNAcentral describes it as "partial 16S ribosomal RNA". It matches the Rfam family "Bacterial small subunit ribosomal RNA", at positions 524 to 776 of the family's 1533-position model. The record is from RNAcentral.